This is an RNA transcript of Canis lupus familiaris (dog), 6253 nucleotides long. It is a transcript of the gene named centrosomal protein 104, with no coding region annotated. NCBI's taxonomy places the organism in Eukaryota, Metazoa, Chordata, Mammalia, Carnivora, Canidae. The transcript has 23 exons. The record is from RefSeq and is a predicted model, not a curated record.
CCACCGGCGCUGCGGCUCGGGGGUGCGGGCCGGCCGGGGACGGCGGAGGAGGCGCCGCCUGAGCUCCGGGAGGCGCUGCCGAAGGGCGGCGGAGGGCCGUGGGGGUCGUGCACGCGCCGAGGUCCCGGCGGGCCUUCCGCUCUGACAGCCCAGCGUCCAGGAUGCCCCACAAGAUUGGCUUCGUUGUGGUCAGCUCCUCUGGACAUGAAGAUGGCUUCAGUGCCCGGGAACUAAUGAUCCACGCACCAACUGUCAGCGGGUGGAGGUCACCGAGAUUUUGCCAGUUUCCACAAGAAAUUGUUCUUCAGAUGGUGGAGAGGUGUCGAAUCAGGAAACUGCAACUGCUUGCCCACCAGUACAUGAUCCCCAGUAAAGUGGAGUUCUACAUCAGUGAGAGCCUGCCCGAGUACUUCGUGCCCUACCAGGCUGAGCGCUUUCGAAGACUUGGCUAUGUUUCUCUCUGUGACAACGAGAAGACAGGCUGUAAAGCCCGGGAGCUGAAGUCAGUGUACGUGGAUGCAGUAGGACAGUUUCUUAAGCUGAUUUUUCAUGAGAACCAUGUCAACAAGUACAACAUAUACAAUCAGGUUGCUCUGGUUGCAGUAAAUAUCAUUGGAGACCCUGCAGAUUUCGGUGAUGAAAGCCAUAUUACCUCUAGAGAGAAACUGAUUGAUCAUUACCUGGGCCAGCACAGCAGUGAGGACCCAGCUCUGGAAGGAACCUGUACUGGGAAAUCUGACUACAUUUCUCCACUGGAUGACUUAGCUUUUGAUAUGUACCAAGAUCCAGAAGUUGCCCAGAUUAUACGCAAAUUAGAUGAAAGAAAACGUGAAGCUGUCCAAAAGGAACGUUACGACUAUGCCAAGAAGUUAAAACAAGCUAUUGCUGAUUUGCAAAAGGUUGGCGAGCGCCUUGGGAGGUAUGAGGUGGAAAAGCGCUGUGCGGUUGAGAAGGAGGACUAUGACCUGGCCAAGGAGAAGAAGCAGCAGAUGGAGCAGUUUCGCAACCAAGUGUAUGAGCAGCUGCAGCUGCACAGCCUCGUGGAUGCUGAGCCGAUGCGAAGGCCUUCUGACCUGCCCCUCCAGCCCCUCACUCACUCUGCCAGUCCUCGCCACAAACAGCAAGUGCCAUCUCUACCACCGCAAGAAGAAAGUGCACCAGAAAGCCGGUUUGCAGAGCCUUUCCUUCAGGAAAAGCCUCCAGCACAUCCCCCAGGCCCUUCUCAGCACUCCACAGCAGACCAGUCACCACCUGCCACAGACCCUCAUCUCAAGACCCAUCUCCAGUCUGUGCCCUAUGAUGAGCGGCCCCUUCCUGCUACACGGAAGCAGCCGGCGGCAGCAGCCCUGGAACCAGAAAAGAGUGACUCUGAUGUCAGCGAGGCUCCCAAAAGAGGUGCCGCUGGAGAGCCUGAGCCCUUAACAGAGAAGGCACUGAGAGAGGCCAGCCCUGCCGUGGACGUGCUUGGAGAAAGCCUGGUUGCGGGGGCCUAUUCCAAGACCUGGUCAUACCGGGAAGAUGCGCUGCUCGCCCUGUAUAAGCAGCUGAUGGAGACACCUGCUGGAACUCCGAAGGAAGAGCUGAAGAGCAUGCUGCGAGCAUCUAUCUUCCUUGUUAGAAGAGCCAUUAGAGACAUAGUGACCCCGGUUUUUCAGGCUUCUUUGAAAUUGUUGAAAAUGAUAAUUACACAAUAUAUUCCCAAACACAAACUGAGUAAGCUUGAAACUGCUCACUGUGUGGAAAGAACCAUACCUGUUCUGCUCACCAGGACUGGAGACUCUUCUGCUCGCCUCCGAGUCAUAGCUUCAAAUUUUAUUCAGGAAAUGGCCUUGUUCAAGGAAGUUAGGUCUCUCCAAAUUAUUCCAUCCUACUUGGUACAGCCAUUAAAAGCCAACUGUUCGACUCAUCUGGCAAUGAGUCAGAUGAGUCUCCUGGCCCGGCUUCUGAAAGACCUGGGCACGGGGACCACAGGCUUCACCAUUGAUAACGUGAUGAAGUUUUCAGUGAGUGCCCUGGAGCACAGAGUGUAUGAGGUUCGAGAGACAGCGGUUAGAGUUAUUUUGGACAUGUAUAAACAGCACCGGGCUUUUAUUCUAGAGUACCUCCCUCCAGACGACAGCACCACGCGCAAGAAUGUUCUCUAUAAAACAAUUUUUGAGGGAUUUGCUAAAAUAGAUGGCAGACCUACAGAUGCUGAAAUUAGGGCACAGAAGAAAGCAGCUACAGAAGAAGCAGAAAAACGAAAGAAAGACGAAAUUAAAGCUUUGCAAGGGCAGUUGGCUGCACUCAAGGACAUUCAGGCCGAAGCCCAGGGAAAAGAAGGCCCCUCAAUGGAGGUGGAGAGUCAAGACACACAAGGAGGGAAAGCAGCCCCACCUCCGGCUCCAGAAAUCCCAGAUAAUCACUAUUUAGAUAAUUUGUGUAUUUUCUGUGGGGAAAGGAGUGAGUCAUUCACGGAGGAGGGCCUGGACCUGCAUUACUGGAAGCAUUGUCUUAUGCUGACGAGGUGCACCCACUGCAAGCAGGUGGUGGAGAUCUCCAGCCUGACGGAGCACCUGCUGACAGAAUGCGACAAGAAAGAUGGGUUUGGGAAGUGCUACCGCUGCAGUGAGGCCAUUCUGAAGGAAGAGCUGCCCAGACACAUAAAAACAAAGGAGUGUAAUCCUGCCAAACCAGAGAAGCUGGCAAACCGAUGCCCUCUGUGCCAUGAGAACUUCUCACCUGGAGAAGAGGCGUGGAAAGUUCAUCUUAUGGGCCCAGCUGGCUGCACGAUGAACCUGCGUAAGACCCACGUGCUGCACAAGGUGCCUGCUCCACUGCCAGCAGGUAGAGGCACAGCCGUGACCAAAACAGGGACCUCAGGAUCAAAGAUCGGAAGCAAGAUCCCGACCCCAAAGGGACUGAACAAAAGCUCUGGCAGGACGUACACAAAGCGGUGACAUGACACACGUUCUGUCUCCCUUAAUCCCACAAGGGACUGAGCACGUUUCCUGACUGUGAAUCAUUUCUCCUAAAAUCCGUCCUUGGACAAGGUGACCCUGUCUACCGCCCCCCACUGUCCCUUGGCCCCCUUCGUCCUUACCUGCCACGCCCUGGAAGCUGACCAAAGAGCCUGCGUCCUGGGGUUAGGACCAGACCCACCACAGUUACACGCAGCCAGGCCUCUGCCCUCCUAGCCAGUGUGAACAGAAGAGCCAGCAGUCGCUGUGUUUGAAGGGGACUGACACUGUCGCCCGGGCAGGUCAGCAGGCUGAGGGCGUAGUGCGAGCACAGUGCCCUCUUCUCAAGCACUUGCAGUGAUCCCCACGAAGGUUUGCUGUGACCUUUGCAUGUCCGGCUCCCACGUGUUGCAGAGUCCCUGCCGGGCCUCAGCUCCCCGGGCAGCGGUGACCAGCAGAAGAGAGACUGCACACACGAGCCUCACCGGGGGCCUUCUCUGCCCAGCACAUCUCCUCGCCCGUCUCUGCGGAGCCCGUGCCCCCCCACCGUCACAGGCCGCUGAGCAUGGGUCCCGCUGCGGCACUUUCCCAGCUGGAGGCCCAUGAGGAGUGCUGGGCCCAGCAGCCCCCUCUUGCAGCAGCCCCCCAGUGGAGCGGAGGUCGACGCUGCUGUCAGUCAAGUCAGAGCUGUCCUCAGGGUGCUCACGUCCCUCCCAUGUGUGCCAUCCCCAACAGAAUUAUGAAGUGACUGUCAGUCACCUGAUUGUCCUGGGCUCGGGUCGGUCGGAACAACCCUUUCUUAAACCCUUGAGGCAAACAUGGCAUUAUACUUGACUCUGGCGUGGGGUAGCUUCUACAUUCUGUAACAUCCCCAAGUGAGCAUCCAGCACAGACCAGCAGGCUCCAAGCAGCUGCCCUGGGCCUACCGUGCUCCCCCCCACAUGUCCACACCUGGAUUGCGACUGUAUGUUCACUCUCAGACACGUCCUGUGACACUUAAAACACUUAAAACAGCCAACAUCGCUCAAAAUGAAGAAGCCAGACCUGGAAAUCCAGCCCCCUGACCAGCUCCUGACCAGCCAUCGUGUCUGGGAAGUGGUUCCACAUGCUUCAUAUGCAGGUGGUUGUGGGGAAGAGCCAGUGUGUGUGUGAGCUCUGCUAGGAAGGCCCCAGCGUCUCCUCUGGGACCCGCUGCAGCAGCCAGCCCUUCCUGUCCCCCCACACGGCCCAGGCAUGCUUCUCCUGUCCUGAGUACCAGGCAGGCUUUCCGAACACCAGUGAGAAGUGGUAGAGUGGGUCAGAUGUGUACUACAUCGUGUGGUGUGUGCGCGCACCGCAGAGCAUGGGACCAAAGGGUGCAUGUUCCAAGGGCAUGCGCUCCACUCACCCCUGCAGAGGUGCAAGAGGAGGAGAGAGCCCUUCUGUGUGCGGCUGGAAUGAGAUGUUCCUCUGUGCCAUUGCCUGUUUGCUCUUAGAAACCGGGUCCAUUCUGCAGAGAAGCUGAGCGCUGUUGUGGUGUGUGCCCAGAGCCUUCCUGGCUCUCACCACCCCUGGCCAGCCUCUGCCUACCCUCCCCAUCAAGGAAGUCCUGGGCUGCCAGCUGAACACCCUGGCUCUGGAACACAGGCUGCAGGAGAGACUAAUCUGUGAUUAGGGUGGUGACCCUCUGAGCUGCUCCUUGUGGGACAGAGGCGGGGAAAUCCCCUGGGGAUCUUCUGGACUCCUCACAGAAUCCUCACAAGGACCACGGGAUGGGGAUGGGGCAGAGGGGCAGUUGAAGUCCUCCUCAAUGGCAGACAGGGAUGCUGGCUCCCUAGAAGGCAGUGGGCCCAGGUGAGAACACUGGAUCCUCACAGACCUGCCUUGGUUUCCCCUCUAUGGAGUGAAGCCAAGGAGAAGGUGCUGAUGAGGCCCAGCCUGGCCUGUGGGUCUGCAAUUUGGGGGAGGGAGCCCGCCCCUAAGCUGAGGGCCACCCCCAGCCCUUCAUCCCUCACUAAGUUGUGCCUGCAAGGGGUAGGGGAGCAAGGAGACAGGCAUGAACCAGAAGGCCUCAAGACUCCACCAAGCUUCUCAGGCCCCAGGCCCCCUAACCAGAACCCACUAGUGCGGGUAUCACGGGAGGGGCGGGGAGAGUCAGGGGGGUUAAGUCAGAUGCUCCAUUGGGUAGAUUCCCCUGUGCACAAGAGGUCAUCAAGCAAAACGCUCUUUUGUGGCCCUGGGCCUGCAGCUUGAGGACUCCCUGGGAGAGGCAUCUCUGGCACCUCUGUGUCCUGGGACUGUCCAGGAGAGGGAGGGUGCAGUGUCCUGCCUAAAGGGGUGGGGGUGUUGCAGGGAUCCCCAUGGGGUAUGGAAUAACUUGGGAGUGCUGUCUCCCAGAUGCCAGGAUCCCAGCCUGGGGUGGGAGAGGCAGGAGGCCAAGCCUGCAGGUGUCCAGGCUCUAAGCUUCACCUGGUGGCCAGGCCAGGAGCAGGGCCGGGAACAGAAAGCAAUCACUACUUAGGUUCUUCCAAUUCAAAGGUUUAACCUACCCAGACCUAUUUUGUAUUUUCUGCUUCUGAAUGAGAUGGAGAUUUAUGAAAUGAGACACAAACACAACAGCUAAACAAUCGAUCAUCUGACUCUCUAACAACCUGAGUCUGUGUCAAAAGGCGUGUCAGGACACCUCACAGAAACAGAAAACCAGAAGGACACAUUUACAACAGGCCACCCACAGAGAGUCGGCACCGGAAGACCCAGAGAGUUCCUGUACAUCGCCAGAAAAGCACUGCGCUGGCCUCCAGCCUCGCUUUGAGUGUCAGGGACCUGCUGUUGCUGGGACAGGUUGUGCACCCUCCCUCAUGAUCCUGCAGAUCACACAUCUCCCGUGGUCCCUCGGGUCUACGAUCGGGGCUCAGCUGGAUGUGUCCCUCCAUGGGGGCUCCAGGGAGGAUCCACUCCUCACCACCCCGCUUCCAGAGGCACCUGCUUACUCCAGCACAGGGCCCCUCUUCUGCACCGGGGCUGCUCAGCCACCAGCCCCCUGGCUCCCCAUCUCGGCCUUGCUCUUCUACUUGUACCCUGUGGCCACCUUGGGCCCCCUCCCCAUCUUCAGGUCACCCAUCAUCACCCAUCUUUCCCCUAGGCCAUAAAACUUAACACUUGCACAGGUUCUGGGGAUUAGAGCCUGGACUUCUCUGGGGGUCAUAAUUGUGCCCACUGUUUGGAUAAGGACACCAUACGCCUAAUGUCUGCAUCACUUUUCACCUGAAGGGUAUGUGGAAAACAUUUAACAAAGAUUAGGAAUGGCAAUAUCAGGAAAAAAAAAAAAAAAAAAA